AGCAGCCGCGGUAAUUCCAGCUCCAACAGCGUAUAUUAAAGUUGUUGCAGUUAAAAAGCUCGUAGUUGAAUUGAGGGAUUGACGUGACGGUCGUGCCUUACGGGGUAUGAACUGUUGCUGUUGAUUUUUCUCACCUUCUGGAGAAACUUGAUGUCCUUAAUUGGGUGUCUUGCGGAUCCAGGACCUUUACCUUGAAAAAAUUAGAGUGUUUAAAGCAGGCAUUUUGCUCGAAUACAUUAGCAUGGAAUAAUAGAAUAGGACGGCAUGGUUCUAUUUUGUUGGUUUCUAGGAUCACCGUAAUGAUUAAUAGGGAUAGUUGGGGGCAUUAGUAUUCAAUUGUCAGAGGCGAAAUACUUGGAUUUGUUGAAGACUAAUUACUGCGAAAGCAUUUGCCAAGGAUGUUUUCAUUAAUCAAGAACGAAAGUUAGGGGAUCGAAGACGAUCAGAUACCGUCGUAGUCUUAACCAAUAAACUAUGCCGACUAGGAAUCAGACGAUGUAAUUUUUUAAUGAUUCGUUUG
Molecule: unclassified non-coding RNA, 520 nt
Filed under: uncultured Entrophospora
Lineage: Eukaryota; Fungi; Glomeromycota; Glomeromycetes; Entrophosporales; Entrophosporaceae
Description: SSU rRNA
Rfam family: Eukaryotic small subunit ribosomal RNA
Source: RNAcentral